UACAGAGGGUGCGAGCGUUGUCCGGAAUCACUGGGCGUAAAGGGCGCGUAGGCGGCUUGAUAAGCGUGCGGUGAAAGCCCGGGGCUCAACCCCGGGUCGGCCGUGCGAACUGUCGAGCUGGAGCACUGUAGAGGCAGGUGGAAUUCCGGGUGUAGCGGUGGAAUGCGUAGAGAUCCGGAAGAACACCGGUGGCGAAGGCGGCCUGCUGGGCAGUUUCUGACACUGAGGCGCGACGAGCGUGGGGAGCAAACAGG
This 254-nucleotide ribosomal RNA is filed under the name uncultured bacterium. RNAcentral's name for it is "partial 16S ribosomal RNA". It matches the Rfam family "Bacterial small subunit ribosomal RNA", at positions 524 to 776 of the family's 1533-position model. The record is from RNAcentral.